RNAcentral lists this ribosomal RNA (433 nucleotides) under uncultured bacterium. RNAcentral describes it as "partial 16S ribosomal RNA". It matches the Rfam family "Bacterial small subunit ribosomal RNA", at positions 29 to 507 of the family's 1533-position model. The record is from RNAcentral.
AACGAACGCUGGCGGCAUGCCUAACACAUGCAAGUCGAACGAGACCUUCGGGUCUAGUGGCGCACGGGUGCGUAACGCGUGGGAACCUGCCCUUAGGCUCGGAAUAACUCCCCGAAAGGGGUGCUAAUAUCGGAUAAUGUCUUCGGACCUAAGAUUUAUCGCCUGUGGAUGGGCCCGCGUUGUAUUUGCUAGUUGGUAGGGUAAAAGCCUACCAAGGCGACGAUCCAUAGCUGGUCUGAGAGGAUGAUCAGCCACACUGGGACUGAGACACGGCCCAGACUCCUACGGGAGGCAGCAGUGGGGAAUAUUGGACAAUGGGCGAAAGCCUGAUCCAGCAAGUCCGCGUGAGUGAUGAAGGCCUUAGGGUUGUAAAGCUCUUUUACCCGGGAUGAUAAUGACAGUACCGGGAGAAUAAGCUCCGGCUAACUCCGUG